Lactuca sativa (garden lettuce) is the source of this 101-nucleotide small nuclear RNA. Lineage: Eukaryota; Viridiplantae; Streptophyta; Magnoliopsida; Asterales; Asteraceae. The record is from RefSeq and is a predicted model, not a curated record.
GUCCCUUCGAGGACAUCCGAUAAAUUGGAAUGAUACUGAGAAAUUUAGCAUGGUCUUGCGUAAAGAUGACAUGUACAAAUCAAGAAAUGGUCUAAAAAUAU